ACUGACAGCUUCAAGCAACAAGUUGAAUGCAAAGAGCUUUUCCAACUCCAGACCCUGCUAGAAGCCUCUGCAUCUCAGGUCAGGAUCAAUGACGAGGCAGAACCUUGGCGAUGCUGCUGGCAUGCCGGCCACAGGACAGACCUUCGACAGAAAACCCCUUGGAAAGUCAAAGCACAGCUCAGCCGGGCUCAUCCACCCCUGGGACACACACGGAACCGCGAAGAUUAAAAUGGUAAAACUCUACAAGCUCCAGCAGCAAAGGGGCUCCUGAAGCCCCAGCACGCCCUGCACAGAGACUGUGGGCAGAAAGCAAGCAGAAAAGCACAGCGGAGGGCUCCGUGGGCACGAAGGACAAGCGCGUUGUAUACUCACAGCCACGUCUGGACCGGACCUGCCCUUUCGUGCUGCCAUAGUCCGGCACUUCAGCUGAAACCUGAGCCUGGUGUCCCCUCUCUCCCUCCUUGGUUACCUACUCCCCAGCUUUGAGAGAGCCAACAGGAUAUUUAAUACAAGCUGCCUCCAGAAAGCAGAUGACUGCUGCCAAGGGCAGGGAGCGGGUCAGAGCUGCAGGUACCAGCUCGGGCGCAGCAGAGGAAGAGCAGCCCCACAGCCGUGCCCCGGAGCCCCGCGUUUCACAGAUGUAUCGCGCAGCCAGAGCUGCCCUGCAAUUGCAACACGCAGCGCUACAGGGAAUGCCCGGAGCCUCGGUCCUCAGCCACAUCAUCCAGCCCCUACCUUUGCCCUUUGCUGCUC
This is a long non-coding RNA of Columba livia (rock pigeon), 753 nucleotides long. RefSeq lists it as uncharacterized. NCBI's taxonomy places the organism in Eukaryota, Metazoa, Chordata, Aves, Columbiformes, Columbidae. The transcript has 3 exons. The record is from RefSeq and is a predicted model, not a curated record.